AUUGAACGCUGGCGGCAGGCCUAACACAUGCAAGUCGAGCGGAUGAAGGGAGCUUGCUCCUGGAUUCAGCGGCGGACGGGUGAGUAAUGCCUAGGAAUCUGCCUGGUAGUGGGGGAUAACGUCCGGAAACGGGCGCUAAUACCGCAUACGUCCUGAGGGAGAAAGUGGGGGAUCUUCGGACCUCACGCUAUCAGAUGAGCCUAGGUCGGAUUAGCUAGUUGGUGGGGUAAAGGCCUACCAAGGCGACGAUCCGUAACUGGUCUGAGAGGAUGAUCAGUCACACUGGAACUGAGACACGGGCCAGACUCCUACGGGAGGCAGCAGUGGGGAAUAUUGGACAAUGGGCGAAAGCCUGAUCCAGCCAUGCCGCGUGUGUGAAGAAGGUCUUCGGAUUGUAAAGCACUUUAAGUUGGGAGGAAGGGCAGUAAGUUAAUACCUUGCUGUUUUGACGUUACCAACAGAAUAAGCACCGGCUACUUCGUG
RNAcentral lists this ribosomal RNA (483 nucleotides) under uncultured bacterium. RNAcentral's name for it is "partial 16S ribosomal RNA". It matches the Rfam family "Bacterial small subunit ribosomal RNA", at positions 30 to 507 of the family's 1533-position model. The record is from RNAcentral.